This 1554-nucleotide ribosomal RNA is filed under the name Staphylococcus aureus. RNAcentral describes it as "16S ribosomal RNA". It matches the Rfam family "Bacterial small subunit ribosomal RNA". Lineage: Bacteria; Bacillati; Bacillota; Bacilli; Caryophanales; Staphylococcaceae. The record is from RNAcentral.
UUUAUGGAGAGUUUGAUCCUGGCUCAGGAUGAACGCUGGCGGCGUGCCUAAUACAUGCAAGUCGAGCGAACGGACGAGAAGCUUGCUUCUCUGAUGUUAGCGGCGGACGGGUGAGUAACACGUGGAUAACCUACCUAUAAGACUGGGAUAACUUCGGGAAACCGGAGCUAAUACCGGAUAAUAUUUUGAACCGCAUGGUUCAAAAGUAAAAGACGGUCUUGCUGUCACUUAUAGAUGGAUCCGCGCUGCAUUAGCUAGUUGGUAAGGUAACGGCUUACCAAGGCAACGAUGCAUAGCCGACCUGAGAGGGUGAUCGGCCACACUGGAACUGAGACACGGUCCAGACUCCUACGGGAGGCAGCAGUAGGGAAUCUUCCGCAAUGGGCGAAAGCCUGACGGAGCAACGCCGCGUGAGUGAUGAAGGUCUUCGGAUCGUAAAACUCUGUUAUUAGGGAAGAACAUAUGUGUAAGUAACUGUGCACAUCUUGACGGUACCUAAUCAGAAAGCCACGGCUAACUACGUGCCAGCAGCCGCGGUAAUACGUAGGUGGCAAGCGUUAUCCGGAAUUAUUGGGCGUAAAGCGCGCGUAGGCGGUUUUUUAAGUCUGAUGUGAAAGCCCACGGCUCAACCGUGGAGGGUCAUUGGAAACUGGAAAACUUGAGUGCAGAAGAGGAAAGUGGAAUUCCAUGUGUAGCGGUGAAAUGCGCAGAGAUAUGGAGGAACACCAGUGGCGAAGGCGACUUUCUGGUCUGUAACUGACGCUGAUGUGCGAAAGCGUGGGGAUCAAACAGGAUUAGAUACCCUGGUAGUCCACGCCGUAAACGAUGAGUGCUAAGUGUUAGGGGGUUUCCGCCCCUUAGUGCUGCAGCUAACGCAUUAAGCACUCCGCCUGGGGAGUACGACCGCAAGGUUGAAACUCAAAGGAAUUGACGGGGACCCGCACAAGCGGUGGAGCAUGUGAUUUAAUUCGAAGCAACGCGAAGAACCUUACCAAAUCUUGACAUCCUUUGACAACUCUAGAGAUAGAGCCUUCCCCUUCGGGGGACAAAGUGACAGGUGGUGCAUGGUUGUCGUCAGCUCGUGUCGUGAGAUGUUGGGUUAAGUCCCGCAACGAGCGCAACCCUUAAGCUUAGUUGCCAUCAUUAAGUUGGGCACUCUAAGUUGACUGCCGGUGACAAACCGGAGGAAGGUGGGGAUGACGUCAAAUCAUCAUGCCCCUUAUGAUUUGGGCUACACACGUGCUACAAUGGACAAUACAAAGGGCAGCGAAACCGCGAGGUCAAGCAAAUCCCAUAAAGUUGUUCUCAGUUCGGAUUGUAGUCUGCAACUCGACUACAUGAAGCUGGAAUCGCUAGUAAUCGUAGAUCAGCAUGCUACGGUGAAUACGUUCCCGGGUCUUGUACACACCGCCCGUCACACCACGAGAGUUUGUAACACCCGAAGCCGGUGGAGUAACCUUUUAGGAGCUAGCCGUCGAAGGUGGGACAAAUGAUUGGGGUGAAGUCGUAACAAGGUAGCCGUAUCGGAAGGUGCGGCUGGAUCACCUCCUUUCU